AUACUUACCUGGCAGGGGAGAUACCAUUAUCAAAGAGGUGGUUUUUCUGGGGCAAGGCUCACUCAUUGCACUCUGGUGUGCUAACCCCUGCAAUUUCCCCAAAUGCAGGAAACUCAGCUGCAUAAUUUGUGGUAGUGGGGGACUUCUUUUGCACUCUCCCU
RNAcentral lists this small nuclear RNA (161 nucleotides) under Nannospalax galili (Upper Galilee mountains blind mole rat). RNAcentral describes it as "U1 spliceosomal RNA (ENSNGAG00000001496.1)". It matches the Rfam family "U1 spliceosomal RNA". Rfam says of the family: U1 is a small nuclear RNA (snRNA) component of the spliceosome (involved in pre-mRNA splicing). Its 5' end forms complementary base pairs with the 5' splice junction, thus defining the 5' donor site of an intron. The record is from RNAcentral. Lineage: Eukaryota; Metazoa; Chordata; Mammalia; Rodentia; Spalacidae.